AGUAACACGUAAACAACCUGCCUUCAGGAUGGGGAUAACAGACGGAAACGACUGCUAAUACCGAAUACGUUCCACGGGCCGCAUGACCUGUGGAAGAAAGGGUAGCCUCUACCUGUAAGCUAUCGCCUGAAGAGGGGUUUGCGUCUGAUUAGGCAGUUGGUGGGGUAACGGCCCACCAAACCAACGAUCAGUAGCCGGUCUGAGAGGAUGAACGGCCACACUGGAACUGAGACACGGUCCAG
RNAcentral lists this ribosomal RNA (242 nucleotides) under uncultured bacterium. RNAcentral describes it as "partial 16S ribosomal RNA". It matches the Rfam family "Bacterial small subunit ribosomal RNA", at positions 109 to 334 of the family's 1533-position model. The record is from RNAcentral.